UUGUAUUGUUAUAUGGAAAACUGAGAAAUGUUAUGCAUGUACAAACCAUUGUAUUUACUGUUGAAUGUAAAACAUUAAUUCCCCAAUAAAGAAAUUUUUUUAAAAAGUGUAGUAUUGUCAAGUUACUUCCAUAUUGUAGCAUAUGUUAAAAUUUCCUUUCUUUUUAAGGCUAAAUUAUUUUCCUUUUCUUUUUCUUUUCUUUCUUUCUUUUUUUUUUCCAGAACAUUGUUCAGCUCUGACUUGUGGUAUGGAGGAUUGGACUGGAACCUUGGAGCAUGAAAGUCUUUGUAUAAUCAUUAUGCUGUCUCUCCAGUUCUCCUUGGGUUGCAAUUUGCUUGGAAGAUCUUUUUCCAUCUUUUGCUUUGUACCUAUGUAUGUCUUUGAAUCUAAAGCAACUUUCUUAUAGAUGGAUUCUCCAGACUGUUCUCCAUAAUGGCUGCACCAGUUUGCACUCCCACCAGCAGUGUAGUAGAGUUCUUCUCUCUCCACAUCCCUUCCAACAAUUAUCUGCUCUUGUUUUAUUGAUGGAGCCCAUUUUCACAGGUGGGAGCUUUUUCAGCUACCAAAUUGUAGAUGCCACCAUGAGGCCAGCCUGACUUACUUCCCUGGGCAGAUGACAUCACCAGUGUGUCCUGGAACUCCACCUCUCCAGAGCCCUGCCCCACUAGGGAAAGAUAGAAACAGGCUGGGGUUAUGGAUCAACCUGCCAACAUCCAUGGCCAACAAAGAAGCAAUUACAGAAGCCAGACCUUCCACCUUCUGCACUCCCAGAGUGAUAAAGAAUAAAG
Erinaceus europaeus (western European hedgehog) is the source of this 788-nucleotide long non-coding RNA. RefSeq lists it as uncharacterized. Lineage: Eukaryota; Metazoa; Chordata; Mammalia; Eulipotyphla; Erinaceidae. The record is from RefSeq and is a predicted model, not a curated record. The transcript has 3 exons.